RNAcentral lists this transfer RNA (356 nucleotides) under uncultured Microcystis sp. RNAcentral's name for it is "partial 16S-23S ribosomal RNA intergenic spacer". The stretch from base 133 to 206 matches the Rfam family "tRNA". Lineage: Bacteria; Bacillati; Cyanobacteriota; Cyanophyceae; Chroococcales; Microcystaceae. The record is from RNAcentral.
AAGGGAGACCUAAUUCAGGUAUGGGACGAAAAAAAAGCAGUCGCUACCAAGAAUCAAUCCCAAAAGGUCGGAGCGAGGUAUGAGGCUUUCAAACUAGGUUCUGGGUUCAAACAAGACCUGAAUCAGGAACAAGGGCUAUUAGCUCAGGUGGUUAGAGCGCACCCCUGAUAAGGGUGAGGUCCCUGGUUCGAGUCCAGGAUGGCCCACCUGCACAGGUGGCAAAAACAAGAGAAGCUCCGAAUCAGCACCUUAUCUUAUCUAUAUAUAAGAGAGAAUGCUGGCUCUGAGUACAGAGUCCAGAGGAACCUUGAAAACUGCAUAGAGCUAGGUGAAAAAGCCAAAAAAGAAGACCGCAA